CCUACGGGAGGCUGCAGUAGGGAAUAUUGCUCAAUGGGGGAAACCCUGAAGCAGCAACGCCGCGUGGAGGAUGAAGGUUUUAGGAUUGUAAACUCCUUUUGUGAGAGAAGAUAAUGACGGUAUCUCACGAAAAAGCAUCGGCUAACUCCGUGCCAGCAGCCGCGGUAAUACGGAGGAUGCGAGCGUUAUCCGGAUUUAUUGGGUUUAACGGGUGCGCAGGCGGACUGUAAAGUCAGCGGUCAAACCCUGGGGCUAAACCCCGGCCCGCCGUUGAAACUGGCAGUCUCGAGUUGGAGAGAAGUAUGCGGAAUGCGCGGUGUAGCGGUAAAAUGCAUAGAUAUCGCGCAGAACUCCGAUUGCGAAGGCAGCAUGCCGGCUCCACACUGACGCUGAGGCACGAAAGCGUGGGUAUCGAACAGGAUUAGAUACCCGAGUAGUC
Molecule: ribosomal RNA, 439 nt
Filed under: uncultured bacterium
Lineage: Bacteria
Description: partial 16S ribosomal RNA
Rfam family: Bacterial small subunit ribosomal RNA
Source: RNAcentral